Molecule: ribosomal RNA, 110 nt
Filed under: uncultured bacterium
Lineage: Bacteria
Description: partial 16S ribosomal RNA
Rfam family: Bacterial small subunit ribosomal RNA
Source: RNAcentral
AAUACGUUCCCGGGCCUUGUACACACCGCCCGUCAAGCCAUGGAAGCUGGGAGUGCCUGAAGUGCGGUAACCGUAAGGAGCGUCCUAGGGUAAAAUCGGUAACUGGGGCU